This 1895-nucleotide ribosomal RNA is filed under the name Natrinema salsiterrestre. RNAcentral's name for it is "partial 23S ribosomal RNA". It matches the Rfam family "Archaeal large subunit ribosomal RNA", at positions 1051 to 2987 of the family's 2987-position model. The record is from RNAcentral. Lineage: Archaea; Methanobacteriati; Methanobacteriota; Halobacteria; Halobacteriales; Natrialbaceae.
CGUUUGACGCAGGGAGUCCGGUGCACGGGGUAAGCCUGUGUACCGUGAGGGAGACAACCCAGAGCUGGGUUAAGGUCCCCAAGUGUAGAUUAAGUGCGAUCGAAGGUGGUCUCAAGCCCUAGACAGCCGGGAGGUGAGCUUAGAAGCAGCUACCCUCUAAGAAAAGCGUAACAGCUUACCGGCCGAGGUUUGAGGCGCCCAAAAUGAUCGGGGCUCAAAUCUACCACCGAGACCUAGCAGUGCGGUUUACACCGCAAUCUUGUAGGUUGGCGUUCUGUUCGGGUGGAAGCACGGGUGAGAACUCGUGUGGACCGUUCAGUAACGAAAAUCCUGGUCAUAGUAGCAGCGUUAGUCGGGUUAGAACCCCGACGGCCGAACGAGUAAGGGUUCCUCAGCAAUGCUGAUCAGCUGAGGGUUAGCCGGUCCUAAGUCUGCCCGUAAGUCGACGCAGACAACAGGGAAAUAGGUUAAUAUUCCUAUGCCAGUGUGCACUCAAAGCUGACGCUUUGGGGCCGCCUGAGCUGGGCUUUCGCCCAGUCGAACUGUCGAAGAGCGUGGAAGCCGUAAUGGCACGAAGCGUUCGAAUGGCAGGAUCGCGCAAGUCAGGUCUACCCAGAGCCCGUGAAAAAGCGAGCACACUGUCCGUACCGAGAUCCGACACAGGUACUCAUGGCGGCGAAAGCCAAGGUCUGUCGGGAUCAACCGACGUUAGGGAAUUCGGCAAGUUAGUCCCGUACGUUCGCAAUAAGGGAUGCCUGCCUCGCGAAGAGGCAGGUCGCAGUGACUCGGGCGCUCCGACUGUCUAGUAACAACAUAGGUGACCGCAAAUCCGCAAGGACUCGUACGGUCACUGAAUCCUGCCCAGUGCAGGUAUCUGAACACCCCGUACAAGGGGACGAAGGACCUGUUAACGGCGGGGGUAACUAUGACCCUCUUAAGGUAGCGUAGUACCUUGCCGCUUCAGUAGCGGCUUGCAUGAAUGGAUCAACGAGAGCGCCACUGUCCCAACGUUGGGCCCGGUGAACUGUACGUUCCAGUGCGGAGUCUGGAGACCCCCAAGGGGAAGCGAAGACCCUAUAGAGCUUUACUGCAGGCUGUCACUGAGACGUGGUCGCCAUUGUGCAGCAUAGGUAGGAGGCGUUACACAGGUAGCCGCGCUAGCGGCCCACCGAGCCAGCAUUGAAAUACUACCCGAUGGUGACUGCGACUCUCACUCCUGGCGGAGGACACUGGUAGCCGGGCAGUUUGACUGGGGCGGUACGCGCCUGAAAAGAUAUCGGGCGCGCCCCAAGAUUUCCUCACUCGGGUCGGAGACCCGAGGAAGAGCGCAAGAGCAAAAGGAAGUCUGACAGUGUCCGGCACAACGACGGACGCUGACGCGAAAGCGUGGUCUAGCGAACCAAUUAGGCUGCUUGAUGCGGCCAAUUGCUGACAGAAAAGCUACCUUAGGGAUAACAGAGUCGUCACUCGCAAGAGCACAUAUCGACCGAGUGGCUUGCUACCUCGAUGUCGGUUCCCUCCAUCCUGCCCGUGCAGAAGCGGGCAAGGGUGAGGUUGUUCGCCUAUUAAAGGAGGUCGUGAGCUGGGUUUAGACCGUCGUGAGACAGGUCGGCUGCUAUCUAUUGGGGGUGUUACGGUAUCUGACGGGAACGUUCGUAUAGUACGAGAGGAACUACGAAUGGGUGCCACUCGUGUACCAGCUGUCCGGAAGGGCACGUGCUGGGCAGCGACGCACCACGGGGUAAGAGCUGAACGCAUCUAAGCUCGAAACCCACCUGAAAAAGAGAUACCACUGAGAUCACUCGUAGAAGACGAGUUCGAUAGACUCGGGGUGUACGCACCAAGGCAACGAGGUGUUGAGCCCGCGAGCACUAAUCGAUCGAGCCACACAUUCA